This 539-nucleotide long non-coding RNA is filed under the name Capra hircus (goat). RNAcentral's name for it is "lncRNA (ENSCHIG00000005094.1)". Lineage: Eukaryota; Metazoa; Chordata; Mammalia; Artiodactyla; Bovidae. The record is from RNAcentral.
GGUCAAACCCGUGUCUCCCGCAUUUUGGGGAGAUUCCCCAUCUGAGCCACCAGGGAAGGCCUACUAGAUUCCACAUUAGAUGCUCAUUAAAUCUUUUCAAUGGAGUUCUCCAUUUCAGCAGGAAUAGAUCAAGCAAUCCUUCCAUAUCCUUAAGCUCUUCUGGUGACUGUGAUGGAAUAAUUACAAGUUUCUUAACCAACUCCAAAAGAAUAUGGGAAGCCAUCCAACUGCCGUUUCUUCCCAUGCUUGUUGAAUUUCCUGUAAUGUGUCCAAUUAAGUCAUCAGAAGAAGUAAUGGGAAAGGUAGAUGUGAACUCUACUUCACAUGACAACUUUGAAGAGCACCUUUAUUCUAUAAAAUGUCUCAGCAGAUGCCAGCUGAGCCAUGGGAGACAAAGUUUGGAGUUUCUGAAACAAACUGGAAAGGAGCAGGUGAGGAGAAGAGAGUACUGGUAAGAGAGGAAAGAAAGAGAAAUCUAACAAGAGUCAUGGUAGAAACCUACGUGCCUGUGUCACUAAUUUCUCCCCAUUUCCUGCCAA